Molecule: ribosomal RNA, 465 nt
Filed under: uncultured bacterium
Lineage: Bacteria
Description: partial 16S ribosomal RNA
Rfam family: Bacterial small subunit ribosomal RNA
Source: RNAcentral
GACGAACGCUGGCGGCGUGCUUAACACAUGCAAGUCGAGCGAGGCCCCUCCUUCGGGAGGGUGUCCUAGCGGCGAACGGGUGAGUAACACGUGGGCAACCUGCCCUCAGCUCUGGGAUAACUCCGGGAAACCGGGGCUAAUACCGGAUACGACCUCCACGGGCAUCUGCGGAGGUGGAAAGUUUUUCGGCUGAGGAUGGGCCCGCGGCCUAUCAGCUAGUUGGUGGGGUAGUGGCCCACCAAGGCGACGACGGGUAGCCGGCCUGAGAGGGCGACCGGCCACACUGGGACUGAGACACGGCCCAGACUCCUACGGGAGGCAGCAGUGGGGAAUAUUGCGCAAUGGGCGAAAGCCUGACGCAGCGACGCCGCGUGAGGGACGAAGGCCUUCGGGUUGUAAACCUCUUUCAGCAGGGACGAAGCGAAAGUGACGGUACCUGCAGAAGAAGCACCGGCUAACUACGUG